This 345-nucleotide unclassified non-coding RNA is filed under the name soil metagenome. RNAcentral's name for it is "partial contains 5.8S ribosomal RNA, internal transcribed spacer 2, and large subunit ribosomal RNA". The stretch from base 1 to 121 matches the Rfam family "5.8S ribosomal RNA", at positions 35 to 154 of the family's 154-position model. The record is from RNAcentral.
GAUGAAGAACGUAGCGAAAUGCGAUAAGUAAUGCGAAUUGCAGAAUUUCCGUGAGUCAUCGAAUCUUUGAACGCACAUUGCGCCCACUGGUAUUCCGGUGGGCAUGCCUGUUCGAGCGUCAUUAUCCUCCCUCAAACCCCGGGUUUGGUGUUGGACCCAAGUUGUGUGAACAACUGGUCUUAAAGACAAUGACGGCGUCCGUGGGACCCUCGGUGCAACGAGCUUUUAGGAGCACGCAUCGAGUUGCAAGGACCUUCCGGGCCGGUCUCCUUUACUAUUUUACAAGGUUGACCCCGGAUCAGGUAGGAAUACCCGCUGAACUUAAGCAUAUCAAUAAGCGGAGGA